This 465-nucleotide ribosomal RNA is filed under the name uncultured bacterium. RNAcentral describes it as "partial 16S ribosomal RNA". It matches the Rfam family "Bacterial small subunit ribosomal RNA", at positions 28 to 507 of the family's 1533-position model. The record is from RNAcentral.
GACGAACGCUGGCGGCGUGCUUAACACAUGCAAGUCGAACGGUAAGGCUCCAGCUUGCUGGGGUACACGAGUGGCGAACGGGUGAGUAACACGUGGGUGACCUGCCCUGCACUUCGGGAUAAGCCUGGGAAACUGGGUCUAAUACCGGAUAGGACCGCACCGUGAGGGUGUGGUGGAAAGUUUUUUCGGUGUGGGAUGGGCCCGCGGCCUAUCAGCUUGUUGGUGGGGUAAUGGCCUACCAAGGCGGCGACGGGUAGCCGGCCGGAGAGGGUGGACGGCCACAUUGGGACUGAGACACGGCCCAGACUCCUACGGGAGGCAGCAGUGGGGAAUAUUGCACAAUGGGCGGAAGCCUGAUGCAGCGACGCCGCGUGGGGGAUGACGGCCUUCGGGUUGUAAACUCCUUUCACCAUCGACGAAGGGUUUCUGACGGUAGAUGGAGAAGAAGCACCGGCUAACUACGUG